UGGGGAAUAUUGGACAAUGGGCGCAAGCCUGAUCCAGCCAUGCCGCGUGAGUGAUGAAGGCCCUAGGGUUGUAAAGCUCUUUUGUGCGGGAAGAUAAUGACUGUACCGCAAGAAUAAGCCCCGGCUAACUUCGUGCCAGCAGCCGCGGUAAAACGUAGGAGACAAGCGUUAUCCGGAGUUACUGGGCGUAAAGGGCGUGCAGGUGGCGUCUUAAGUCUGUUGUGAAAGCGCCUGGCUUAACCGGGCGAGGCCAAUGGAGACUGAGAGGCUGGAGGACGGCGGAGGGGUGUGGAAUUCCGGGUGUAGUGGUGAAAUGCGUAGAGAUCCGGAGGAACACCAGAGGCGAAGGCGGCACUCUAAGCCGUACCUGACACUGAGACGCGACAGCACGGGGAGCAAACG
RNAcentral lists this ribosomal RNA (402 nucleotides) under uncultured bacterium. RNAcentral's name for it is "bacterial SSU rRNA". It matches the Rfam family "Bacterial small subunit ribosomal RNA", at positions 355 to 774 of the family's 1533-position model. The record is from RNAcentral.